Long non-coding RNA from Tachyglossus aculeatus (Australian echidna), 922 nucleotides. RefSeq lists it as uncharacterized. The transcript is spliced from 5 exons. The record is from RefSeq and is a predicted model, not a curated record. Lineage: Eukaryota; Metazoa; Chordata; Mammalia; Monotremata; Tachyglossidae.
AAUUGAUUACUCUUCUACUCUCAUAUCUAAUCACUGAAUUUGUUUUAACACUAUAUACAGUCCAGUGUAUAUAUCUAAGAUGAAAUUUUCUCAACUGCCUGAAUAUGAUGUUAGUAGUAACACAAGCCUCACCUCUUCUUAAUGGGUGAUGAACUGAGGUGGAGAGAUUCAAUGACUUGCCCAAGGCCAGGACUAGAUUAACUCUGCUAUGAAGCUGGAUUCAAUUUUGCAAAGGUAGGUUCUUACUCCCGAUGACUCAGAUCGAAGCUCACGUGUAAUUCUCAGUGGGAGACACCAUCACUACCCCUCAUCAGGCAGGAAUCAUCGGAUGUCUUUGCAGCAAUCUCCUAAGAGCUACUGUAUGGUCUGGUUGAAAACUGGCAAGAGAAUUGCAGGGGGAGCAAAAAUGAAAACUUCAUGAUCUAAGAUCCUGACAGAAGAAGAUUUCCAUGCAGUGAGAGUUCUUCUCUAUGUUUCAGCUGUGGUGAAAAAGGCUAGGAUGAUCUAACUGGGUUACUUCAAUUUAAACCUUUUCCAUUCGCUUCCCAACGCAAAGAGAGAGACGGAGGACAUGUACAUUGCAGGCCUUAACCAGCUUACACAUUAGAGGCUCUCUCAGUACCUUCUGAAGUCUCUAGCCUUAUGGUGGCAUAUUAUAUCAGUCACUGACUCCCCAAUUAUUGUAUUAACUGAACCUCCACUCUGGUUACUGGGACUUUGUAACUGAUACCAAAUGUUAAUUCAAGCAUUUAUUCUGUUGGUGAUGUUUACUGUAUCGCCUUCUUUGCUAACCUCCCUGCCCCUUGUCUCCCCCAACUCGUCAUACUUCAGAGAGGUUGGCUGCAAGAUAGACAAAACUGAAGUACAGUGAGUGGUUGGCAUUAGAGAGAAGCAGCGUGGCUCAGUGGAAAGAGCCCCAGCU